Long non-coding RNA from Eptesicus fuscus (big brown bat), 130 nucleotides. RefSeq lists it as uncharacterized. The record is from RefSeq and is a predicted model, not a curated record. The transcript is spliced from 3 exons. Lineage: Eukaryota; Metazoa; Chordata; Mammalia; Chiroptera; Vespertilionidae.
GCCCCAUAUGGUAGAACUGAAGAGUAUGUGUUAUACUGGAAAGAAGACCUGGGUUUGAAUGCUGCCUCUCUCAUUUGGAUAAAUUCAGGCACUGUCCUUUCCUAGGGAUCAGGUAAACACUGCUCAGGCA